This is a long non-coding RNA of Humulus lupulus (European hop), 1750 nucleotides long. RefSeq lists it as uncharacterized. The record is from RefSeq and is a predicted model, not a curated record. NCBI's taxonomy places the organism in Eukaryota, Viridiplantae, Streptophyta, Magnoliopsida, Rosales, Cannabaceae. The transcript has 4 exons.
CUCGUCUCUCUCUUUCUCCAUGCCUCCGAUCUCCAGCCUCUCACUGCACCUCUCGCACGAUCGACUAUCGCCUUUAGCCUUUCCGAAUAAAUGGCCUUUGAAUCGAGCUCAUCCUCAUCUUCUAUGGUGGGUCAUUGGAAGUUGAGUGCCACCUCUGCUUGCUCGGGACGCCGCCUCCUUCGGUCCCAUCGCCCCCACUGGCCGGGGUGAAGAAGUUGAGCACGGACUAUGCUGGGCAUUCUUUCACUGAUGGUGGAGAGGUCAUGUGAGAAAGAUAGUCCUUUAUGCUAUUCUAUUUUUGUAUAGGUGCUUCACUUUAAGAAGUGCCAUAUACUUUUGUCAAGAAAAGUUCUGAGAGGAUUGGAUCUACAAACACUUCGAUGCUGCCAACAAAAAUGAAGAAGGCAGAGUUGAACAUAAAUGAAAAGGGUUUGAUAUCUGCUUUACCACACUUGAAUCCAUUCAAAUUGAAGAAAAGCAGUUGUAGUUGGUUUAUGAAUAAUAGCCUUGCUCAUUCUCUAUUUGCUGAGGGCGCGGUGCAAAACAGCUGAAGCAGCCAAUAUUGUGAACUAUUUUUGUUGUUCCUGUUCUUGACCUGAAUUUGGUUUUUCAAGUAUGCAAGGUGCACCAGAUCAGUCUCCAUCGGCAUGCGCUGUGUUGCACUAUCCCGAGUGCUAUGGUAUAAAUUUCUAUCCCGAGCCCGUUGCACUAUCCUGAGCGCUACGGUAUAAAUUCCUAUCUCAUAUUUUAAUUAUUUUGAGUUUUGAAAUUAUUUGCGAGUUAGGAAACUAAAAUGUAAUUGUGUAUGUUCAUAGUAGAUUGAGAGUUAAUUAGUAUAAUGAGUUGAGCUGUGAUUUUAUUGGACUUCUCUGGGAUUGUCAUAUGCCUUGUUUGCAGGUUUUAAAAUUUGGAGAUGUCCGAUUUGCUACUGUUGUGAUGCCCGUUUUUCUAGAAAUUUACGGACUCUUGUCUAGUUACUUUGCAACUCUGUUGCAUGCUCUUCCUAAUCGACUUAGCAUAUUUAAUUGUAUACUAAAUUAUGUAUCAUAUGCAAAAAAAAAUUGUUUUGCAAGCUGAAUUAUGAUUUUCUAUUUUGCGUAGACUUUCAAAUGUGAAUUAGAUUAAUGAAUUUGGAUUAGGCUUAUUAACAACUCAUUGUGUUACUUGUCGCUCGUUGUGUUAUUUUAAAAACUUUAACAAAUGUUAUCUGGUAUACUUGUGUUACAUAUUAAUGAUCUAUUAUAUUUAUGUUCUUAGUGCUUUUAUUUAUAACUAUAUUAUUUUUUUCUUUUCUUGCUAAGUACUAUGGACUUAGAAUCUUAUGCAUAUCACUUACCUAAUGAACUAAGACUAACUACUUAAGCCAUGAGGCUAUCUUGUUUGAUAAGAAAAAAACAAUUUUUAUAUAAAUCAUUUUUGUGACUAAAAACCAAUCAUCCUUUUUAUUUCUUUUGCAACCUCAAUUUCUCUAUUUAUUUUAAUUUUGGUUUGACUUUAAUGGUGUUUAUUCUAUACUGUAGGCUAAAACUCUACUUGGAUAUUUAAGAGAACCGAUACAAUUAUAUAAGAUAACCAAGGCAACAAGAAAUUCUUCAAGUUGGGUAUUAUUUUCUUUCUUGCUUGUAAGAAUUAUGUACAGUGAGGAUUUGAUGUAUUAUUUACAUUGAGAAUAAUGAAUUUUUAUUGAGAAUUAUAAUAAAUUUUUAUUGAGAAUUAUUUAGUCUCAUGGGGAUUUGAUGUAUUAUUUACA